CAUAUUAGAGUUUGUUUUGAAUUUUUCCUUUACGUUGAAAAGGUCUCUUUUGAGUAAUAUGAUUAUUAUUUUUUGG
This 76-nucleotide transfer RNA is filed under the name Sigmoria latior munda. RNAcentral describes it as "tRNA-Val". The record is from RNAcentral. Lineage: Eukaryota; Metazoa; Arthropoda; Diplopoda; Polydesmida; Xystodesmidae.